Long non-coding RNA from Brassica napus (rape), 1691 nucleotides. RefSeq lists it as uncharacterized. The record is from RefSeq and is a predicted model, not a curated record. Lineage: Eukaryota; Viridiplantae; Streptophyta; Magnoliopsida; Brassicales; Brassicaceae. The transcript has 4 exons.
UCCUUACAUAAGGAAAUGCAUAAGCCAUAAAGAAAAAAAAAGUACAAAACUCCAAAAAAAUCUAAUGGACUUGGAUCUAAAAAAUCUCAAAAUGCACUAAAUCCAUAAAAUAAUCCAACUACGAAGAUCUCCAGAAAAUCUAGCUCCAAUCGACCAGAGCUGCUGCCGCAAGUACACACUCACCGGAAGCGAGAACCGCCAAGGCUACCAUGGAAGCGAGGAGAAGACAAAGCACAAGAAGGAUUUGUACAAGCUCCAUCGAAAACACAACCUGAGCGGAACCAAGAAAAAAUGGAGGUAAAGCACUAUGGACAAGAAGACUCAUCGAGAGGAAAAAAGGAGAUGUUGGAACCGGUCCGUCCGUCUCCUCCCGUUGUCAUAGUCAGCCACUGCCGUAGACCCUUUUAAGGCCACCGUCCUCUAAUGACGAGCUUACUCAUUGGUCCCAGCAGUUCAACCUCUACCAAAACCAGUUCACAAUAACGAUUCACCACUUUUCCUUCCACCGUCGAUUAAAUCUCGAAAGCUUAAAGGGUCAUAGAGAUGGAUAGGUACCACACAGCCAAGUGGAAACACAAAACCGGGCCUUUAAUUCCGGUCUUUGAAUAUUGUGUAGCCCAAUUUAGAUCAGCACAACUCCCGACUAUGUCGCUCGCCUCUUCCACUUCAUCAUCGUCCUUCCCGAUUCUGCAAAUCGACGUUUCUUGGAGUUAUUACGAGCCAUGUUCCAUCUUCUUUUGGUUUUCCACUUAUAUAAACUCCUUCACCUAAUCUUUGCUCCAACCACAACCAUAUAGAAAAUUCCUCACCUUUUCCCUUUCCGUAUUCUCACUAUAUAAGUCCAUUGCGAUAUUCAGUACCAAAAAAUUCCACACACAAUUUUUACCUCUGCAUCGCCGCCGAUCUCAGUUACUUUAGCAUUCCUCUGCCAUCUCAGCCUGAGUCUUGCGGCAAGGACCUGUGACAAAAACUAAACCACCAGAUGAAAGAAUGAAUAAUAUACCUUCAAAAUCUGAUCAAGGAUAUCCAUAAUCAAAGGGAAGCAGUCCAUCAGAUGCUCAACCAUCCAUGUCUACGAAACCAAUGGACCAAAAGAAAGCACGAUGAAUCACCCAGAAUAUCUGAUGAGAACUCUAACAAAGCUGGCUCCAAGAAUUCUGAAACCGAGGUAAUUAAAGUCUUCUUCCAAACGAGGUGCAUCGGCUGCGUCGAUGAAGAAAUCAAUAAAACAAGAUUUUUUAGAAGACGAUGGAAAGUCUGGUAAAGCUGUUGGAACAUCCACACCCGACAAAGGUGUUAUAUAUUUUGGAGAGGAGGCAGGCAUUUUUGGCUUUGACCAAAGCUUCUCCCGGCAUAUCAACCAAUGGUAGCUUAGCUACUGGUUCGUCCAAAGUUUUGGUGUUAAGCACAAAAUCAUUAGACGUUCAUAGAGUCUAAUGAGAGCUCAAUGGACCUUUUAGGCAUUCUAACUUUUAAUCUUUCGUGCAUCAAAGAUGGUGUUGUAGUUUUAGAUACACAAGCAAUUUUUUUGAUGGAAAGGCUAUCAAGGCUCUUUAUUUUUCUUCUUCUGCAUUUUAAGUGAUGAAACUUUAGUCAAUACAUAUUUUUUAUCGAUUGGAAAAUUGAGAAGUUGAAAGUAAGUUAAUAUGUUUUGGCACCAUUAAUUUUUUUUUGGCAACAUUAGCUUCUUA